This is a long non-coding RNA of Peromyscus californicus insignis, 6118 nucleotides long. RefSeq lists it as uncharacterized. The record is from RefSeq and is a predicted model, not a curated record. The transcript has 3 exons. Lineage: Eukaryota; Metazoa; Chordata; Mammalia; Rodentia; Cricetidae.
UAGCCAAGUAAGUACUCUCCACUGUCUAGGACUCUUUUCUUCCUCUCCCUCCUCUUCCUCCUCCUUCUCCUCUUCUUCCUCCGGCUUCUCUUCUUCCUCCUUCCUUUCAUUCUCUCUCUUCUUUGUUUUGAUUUUUGAGACAGGGUCUCAUUCUGUUGUCAUGGCUGCCCUGGAACUUGUAAGUAAUCCUCCUGCCUCAGCCUUCAAAUGCUGGGGUUAUGUUUAUAUACCACUGAGAUUUCUCUUUGUCCCUCUGUCUCUCUGUCUCUCUCUCUGUCCGCCCCGCCCCCACUGAUUUUCUUGAGACAGGAGACAGGUCACAUGUCUCAAAGGAUGGCCUCAAAUUAUUAUGGCUGAGCAUGACCUUGAACUCCUGACCUCCCUACUUCCACCUCCCACAUGCUGGGAGGUGCACACCACUAUACCCAGCAUUUCUUCUAAAUUUUUGUUGUUGUUGUUGUUGUUAUUCUUGUUGUUGUUCUUUAAAUAUAGCCCCGACCAGUCUAGUAUUCACUAUGCAGCCCAAGCUGGCUUUGAACCCCCGAGCAGUUCUCCUGACUCAGCCUCUGAGGGCUGGGACUGCAGGUGCAAGGCGCCAUCCUCGGCUAAGGUGUGAGUGAGCAUCACAGCUUGGAUAUCAUCUCUGUUCUAAAAUCUCCCAAAAUGAACUCUUCCCUCCCUUCCCCCACCCACUCAACCUUUUGGAAUUUAUUCUGAAAGCAAUGUAGAAAAGUCUUGAUAGGUUUAAGAGAGAAACAACAGGACCAGAGCUUCGCACUUGGACACCAGUUCCCUGGCAACCGCGGCAGAUUCGGGAGAACAGUGUUGUCAGACAAAGGGGAAUUCUCAGAAUCAUUCAAGAGAGAGGGGUGGCAGCUCAAGUCAAGGGGGCGGCAGUGGAAUUAGAAAUGACAAGAUUUACGAGGGCACACCUUUACUGUUCAGAUGAAGCAUGGCAGAUUAAAGCUUACUUCUGAGACGGACGUGUUCGGGGUGGUAUGCCUAAAAGCCACGCUUGUUUCUAUUCCUCAAAUCCCACCAAGUUUUACAGGUCAGAUGUAAGCUCUCAGCUACUGCUCCAGUGCUCUGCCUGCCUGCCUGCUGCCAUGCUCCCCACAUGAUGGUCAAGGACUCACCCUCUGAAACAUUUGACUACAUAUGGAAUGAACUACCAUCCAGAAAUGGAGGGCACACCUGUGAUCUGGAUCUUGCGGCUGGAAGACACAUCUUUAAUCUGGGCCACACCUUCUGCUGGAAGCCUAUAUAAGGACAAUGGAAGGAAGACAGAGAGCCACUGGGCCUGGCUUGGGCUUCUGAAAUCUUAAAGUCCACCCCCAGUGACACACUUCCUCCAACAAGGCCACACUUCCCAAUAGUGCUACUCCCUAUGAGCCUGUUCGGAUCAUUUUCAUUCAAGCCACCACAGACGGUGACCCCACCCCAGACGUGGGUUAGGUAUCACCCCAUGGAGUGGGUGCUUGGGUAGGAUAGAAGGAGGAAAAGGAGAAAGCUGGAGGAAGCCAGCCUUCCCUUUCUGUUGUCUCUAGGCCCUCCGUGAGUGGCUCUCCUCUGCUACACACCCCCGCCCUGAAGGACUGAGCCCUCUGAGACUGUGAGCCGAAACAAACUUCUCCUGGUUUUUUAUGUUAGAUAUUCUGUCUUAGUGACCAAAAGUCCCUGAUACAGGGAAAGAGGAGGGAGAUGGAAGACGAGGAGUGGAGGAGGGUCAACCCACAGCACACGCAGGUGCCGUCACAGCACAGGUGAGUCCUACUAGCUGCGUCAAUGUGUUAGGAAUCAUGGUGGGGAAAGGCUCUCUGCCCUUCCAGCCCAGCUCCUCCUCUGGAGUCCUCCCUCUCUUCCACACUCCCCGCCCCCCAUGUAGCUGCUCCACUGCUAAGCACCAACCCCAGAAUCCUUCUCUUUCUUGUUCACUGGUCUCCACCUUGAACAGGAAAAAUAAGUCACUUCUCACUUUGCUUCCCUAUUCCCAAGAGACCUGGGGUGAUGACCUGGGGUGCUAACAAGAAAAGAUAUCUUUUUUUUUUUUCAAGACAGGGUUUCUCUGUGUAGCCCUGGCUGUCCUAGAACUCACUCUGUAGCCCAGGCUAGCCUUGAACUCACAGAGAUCCGCCUGGCUCUGCCUCCCGAGUGCUGGGAUUAAAGGCGUGUGCCAUCACCACUACCCAGCUUACAAGAAAAGAUUUUGCCUAGAGUGGUAGAGCAGAGACAGGUAGGUGGAUCUCUGUGAAUUACAGACAGUCAGGUGACACAGUGAGACCUGUUUCAAUGUGUGCGUGCGUGCGUGCGUGCAUGUGUGUGUGUGUGUGUGUGUGUGUGUGUGUGUGUGUAUGUGUGUAGCCACACAUGGUAGUACAGGCCUGUAAUCCCAGCACUCAAGGAGGUGACGGCAGGAAGACAGUUUGAGGCAGCUACUUGGGAAGCUGAGGCAGGAAGACUGAGCCCAUGAGUUCGAGGUCAGCUUGGACGAGAUAGUGAGACUCUAUCUUGCAACACAAAACAGAGGACUAGGGAUGUAGCUCAGUUGAUAGAGUGCUCACCUAGAUCCCCAGUGUCACACUAACUGAUGGGCGCAGUGACACAGUCCAGCUGCGUCACUUUUGAAGUAGAAGCAGGAGGAUCAAGUCGUCUUUGGUUAUACAGCGAUUUGGGGGCCUACCUGAAACACUGUCCCAAAACAAACAGCAACUGAUAAAACACAAGAGAAAACCCAAAAUUUGAACUACCUCAGCCACUAGAGUGACAGGACCACAGGACCCAUCACACUCAGUGACAGGACCCAUCACACUAGAGUGACAGGACCCAUCACACUAGAGUGACAGGACCACAGGACACAUCACACUCAGUGACAGGACCACAGGACCCAUCACACUAGAGUGACAGGACCCAUCACACUAGAGUGACAGGACCCAUCACACUAGAGUGACAGGACCACAGGACACAUCACACUCAGUGACAGGACCCAUCACACUAGAGUGACAGGACCCAUCACACUCAGUGACAGGACCCAUCACACUAGAGUGACAGGACCCAUCACACUAGAGUGACAGGACCACAGGACACAUCACACUCAGUGACAGGAAUGCACAUCACACUUGGCAAUAUUUAUCGGCUUAUUUGGCUUUGGUUUCAUUUUUUGAGACAGGGUCUUACCAGACUGGCCUGGAACUUAGUAGGCAGACCAAACUGACUUCAGUCUCUGAGCGUCUUCCCGCCUCAGCCUCCCAAGUGCUGGAACUACAGGUGUGGGCCACGAAACUUGUUUUUCUCUUUACUGUUGUGUUUAUUUUAAAUUAUGUGUAUGUGUGUGGGUUUGUGCACAUGAGUGCAGGUGCCUGUGGGGGCCAGAAGAGGGCACUGGAUCUCCUGAAGCUGGAGUUACAGGAGAUGGUAAGCUGCCCAGUGUGAGUGCUGGGGACUGAACUUGAGUCUCUUGUGAGAGCAGUACAUGUACUUAACUGCUGAGCCAUCUCUCCAGCCCCUAUUUUAAAGUUUUUACUUAUUGUAUGUGUGCGUGUGUAUGUGUGCGUGCACGCGCACUCGCGCACAGGCAUGCAUGCUCUUGUCCUUGCUCUCAACUCUGUGCAUGUGUGACUGUCGGAGGGGACAACUUCUGGGAGUUGGUUCUCUCCUUCCAUCGUGGGUCCUGGGGAUUGAACUUGGGUUGUCAAACUAUCACAGCAAAUGCUUUCACUCGCUGAGCCAUCUUGCUGGGCCAGCCUUUAUGAUCUUAUUAUUUAUUUAUUUAUUUAUUUUUUUGGUUUUUCGAGACAGGGUCUCUCUGUGUAGCUUUGCGCCUUUCCUGGGACUCACUUGGUAGCCCAGGCUGGCCUCGAACUCACAGAGAUCCUCCUGCCUCUGCCUCCCGAGUGCUGGGAUUAAAGGCGUGCGCCACCACCGCCUGGCACGCCUUUGUGAUCUUAAUCCAAUGGACAUAUACACUGUGAAAUGAUCAACUCAGGACAAUGACCAUCCUCAUCACCUCAGACAGUUAGGAUAUCGGUGGUGAGAACAUUCAAAUUCUUAGCCAUCACAGUGGCACGUGCCUUUAAGCCCAGCACUCAGGAGGCGGAAGCGGCAACUUGUAGCUCUCUGUGAGUUUGAUGGCAGUCAAAAUGAGUUCUAGACCAGCCAGGGCCACCUAGUGAGACCUUGUCUCAAAAAAAAAAAGUUCAGAUUUUCUUCUUUCUAAACCAGGUGUGGUGAUGCACACCUUUAAUCCCAGCACUCAGGAACUGAGGCAGAGGCAGGUGGAUCUCGGAUCUCUGAGUUCGAGGCCAGCCUGGUCUACAUAGUGAGUUCCAGGACAGCCAGGGUCACACGGAAAAACCCUGUCUUGAAAAGGCAAAAGCAAGCUGGGUGGUGGUGGCGCACGCCUUUAAUCUCAGCACUCGGGAGGCAGAGGCAGGUGGAUCUCUGUGAGUUCGAGGUUAGCCUGGUCUACAGAGCGAGUACAGGACAGGCUCCAAAGCUACAGAGAAACCCUGUCUCGAAUCCCCCCCCCCAAAAAAAAGGCAAAAACAAAAGAAUUUUUCCUUCUAUAUAAAGUUUUAAUACUCACUACUUCUGGGAUAGGGUUAUACUGAAUCAGAAACAACAAAUAUUAUUUUUGUUUUAAAAAUCUUGAGAGUAAAUCUUUUGAGGCCAGACCAAACUGAAGCGAGGGAAAUGGCGUCUCUUGCUGCUGACUUGAAUUUCUCUUCCCACUAAUUUUCAGUAAGAAAUUGCAUGUCUCUGCACUUCCUGAUUUCAAACUGUGUGGCAGCCUGUGUGGCUGCUGACAGCUGUCAAGUUCCUGUGUGACACAGAGGUGCCUGUGAUACAUGAUGGGCACCCUGAGCUUGCCCUGUGGUAUGCGAGGCACCGAGCUAUGCCACCUCAGGUCCAUAAAACAUGCAGCAGAGUCCCGGGCGGGUGCCCUGCUCAGUGUCCCUCAAAGCAAGAAUAUCUGUUUCUCUUCUGCGGUCCUUGUCACCCUCAUCGACGGAAUAAUGGUGGUAAUUAACUGAGAGUUUGCCAUGCACUGGGAAGUGUGCCAAACACGUUACAUUUAUUAUCUCAUGUCUCUCUUACGACAAUUCCAUGAGGUUAUAUGCCAUUAUCUCCACGUGACAAACAAGAAACUUCAGCCUCUGGACAACGUGGUGAAUAUACUCGAAACCACAACUAUAUGCCUUACAUUGGUGAUUUGCAUGGUAUGUGGAUGUUAUCUCAAUAAAGCUUUAUGUGGUACAAUGUGUGUGUGUGUGUGUGUGUGUGUGUGUGUGUGUGUGUGUGUGUGUGUGUGUGUACUUGGAGGUAAAAGCAAGCAGAUCUAUGUGAGUUCAAGGCCAGCCUAAUCUACAUAGUGAGGUCCAGGUCAGCCAGGGCUACAUAGUGAGACCCUAUCUCAAAAACAAGGACUGCGGAUGUAACUCAGUGGUGGCAUGUUUGCCCAGGGGGAAUGAAGUGGGGAAUGGGUGCUGUGUGGUCCACUGUCACAUCCGCAGCAGGGCUCAGUCACCUGGCAGCCCUGGUAGCCUCUGAGGUGGGCAAGCUGUCACUUCAAGCACUGUCACCAGCCUUUGGGCUCCUCAGAGAGCGACCCCAUCAGCCUGGGGAUAGAGAAGGGUUGGAGUGAGGAGGACAGAAAUGGGCAUCCUGUCCUGGGAAGCACCUGCCAUAAAACAUUCCACAGCAGCCUGUCCGCCCCAGAAGCUGCUGCAAAUUAAACUAGCUGUGUGUGCUGCAGAGAUGAAGGAGCUCAAGAGAGCUGCUGGGGCGCAUGUGCAAGUGCCCGGGGAGCCCUGCGCCCAGGCCAGGCAGUGGAGAGGGCCAGCUGCAGCAUCGGUGGGGAGCCCUGUGCCCAGGCAGUGGAGGGGGCCAGCAGCAUCGGUGGGGAGCCCUGCGCCCAAGCCAGGCAGUGGAGAGGCCCGGCUGCGGCAUCGGUGGGGGGCCCUGCGCCCAGGCCAGGCAGUGGAGAGGGCUGGCUGCAGCAUCGGUGGGGGGCCCUGCGCCCAGGCAGUGGAGAGGGCCGGCUGCAGCAUCGGUAUACACUCCCCUGGUGCUGCCUCUGGCCCUGCGGAAUCCUGCUGACUCACCUCCUGCCCUUUGCAGG